Molecule: transfer RNA, 57 nt
Filed under: Radix sp. MOTU5
Lineage: Eukaryota; Metazoa; Mollusca; Gastropoda; Lymnaeidae
Description: tRNA-Ser
Source: RNAcentral
UUUUGUAUUAUAAAAGAUUUUGAAAAUCUUUUCAGAAAAUAAUUUUUCACUUAGUGA